RNAcentral lists this ribosomal RNA (1031 nucleotides) under Paeniglutamicibacter sulfureus. RNAcentral describes it as "bacterial SSU rRNA". It matches the Rfam family "Bacterial small subunit ribosomal RNA", at positions 55 to 1094 of the family's 1533-position model. The record is from RNAcentral. Lineage: Bacteria; Bacillati; Actinomycetota; Actinomycetes; Micrococcales; Micrococcaceae.
AUGCAAGUCGAACGAUGACUUUUGUGCUUGCACAGAAUGAUUAGUGGCGAACGGGUGAGUAACACGUGAGUAACCUGCCCCUGACUCUGGGAUAAGCCUGGGAAACUGGGUCUAAUACCGGAUAUGCACCGUGGACCGCAUGGUUCUUGGUGGAAAGAUUUUUUGGUCAGGGAUGGACUCGCGGCCUAUCAGCUUGUUGGUGAGGUAAUGGCUCACCAAGGCGACGACGGGUAGCCGGCCUGAGAGGGUGACCGGCCACACUGGGACUGAGACACGGCCCAGACUCCUACGGGAGGCAGCAGUGGGGAAUAUUGCACAAUGGGCGAAAGCCUGAUGCAGCGACGCCGCGUGAGGGAUGACGGCCUUCGGGUUGUAAACCUCUUUCAGUAGGGAAGAAGCGAAAGUGACGGUACCUGCAGAAGAAGCGCCGGCUAACUACGUGCCAGCAGCCGCGGUAAUACGUAGGGCGCAAGCGUUAUCCGGAAUUAUUGGGCGUAAAGAGCUCGUAGGCGGUUUGUCGCGUCUGCCGUGAAAGUCCGAGGCUCAACCUCGGAUCUGCGGUGGGUACGGGCAGACUAGAGUGAUGUAGGGGAGACUGGAAUUCCUGGUGUAGCGGUGAAAUGCGCAGAUAUCAGGAGGAACACCGAUGGCGAAGGCAGGUCUCUGGGCAUUAACUGACGCUGAGGAGCGAAAGCAUGGGGAGCGAACAGGAUUAGAUACCCUGGUAGUCCAUGCCGUAAACGUUGGGCACUAGGUGUGGGGGACAUUCCACGUUUUCCGCGCCGUAGCUAACGCAUUAAGUGCCCCGCCUGGGGAGUACGGCCGCAAGGCUAAAACUCAAAGGAAUUGACGGGGGCCCGCACAAGCGGCGGAGCAUGCGGAUUAAUUCGAUGCAACGCGAAGAACCUUACCAAGGCUUGACAUGUGCCAGACCGCCGUGGAAACACGGUUUCCCCUUUGGGGCUGGUUCACAGGUGGUGCAUGGUUGUCGUCAGCUCGUGUCGUGAGAUGUUGGGUUAAGUCCCGCAACG